AUUUGCGCCGAUUUUUUUACAGGUAAAUUACAGGUAAAAUACAGGUUAACUACAGAAAAUAUAUAAGAAUAUGUCAAUGAGACAACUCUUUUUUUUAUUUUCAUUAAAGACCUCUCGUUAGCCAGUUGAACAUUUUAUGAAUUGUCAAUCAUAACAUGUAUACAACUGUUGUCCCCUGCUCACCACGGGGAGGUGGAAGUAGGAUUUCGAGCAGGAUGAGUCAAUUUAAUAGCAC
RNAcentral lists this long non-coding RNA (235 nucleotides) under Mytilus galloprovincialis (Mediterranean mussel). Lineage: Eukaryota; Metazoa; Mollusca; Bivalvia; Mytilida; Mytilidae. The record is from RNAcentral.